CACUGCGUGAAUCUGUCAAAGUAAGAACGGAACAACGGGAUAUCUCCACGUAACGCGUGUGUGCGUUUCUACAGUUUUCUCGUUUUAUUUAAUUAAAUAAUAUUAUUCCGGCGGCGAUGAUUGCGUAGAAAAAUCGCCACAUAAUAGGAGUAUACAUUUUAGGCAUUAAAUAUAAAAAAUCGGCCAGUAUGAAGAGUUGGGGUCUUCUUCUGGUCGCUGCUUUAGCGUUAAGUGGCAGUUAUGCGGUGGAUAGGAAUAAUUUUAAGACUUGCGACCAGUCUGGUUUCUGCAAGCGGUUGCGGGGUUUUAAGCCAGAGAAGUCGGAGUAUAGUCUUAAUUUAGACACUGUAUUAGUACACGGAAAUGUAUUAUCGGCUGAAGUUGACACUGUGGACACUACGGCCCAGGAAAGGAAAGUUUUGUGGCACUAUGCUAUGAGAUUGUCAGCCCUGGUGGAUGGCACCUUCAGGGUGGAAAUAGAUGAGGUGGAUCCUCUGUAUCCGAGGUACAGGACUCAACUUGCACUCGAUGGAGAACCUAAGGCUGAUGGUCUAAAACUCCUUUCAAAUGAAAAUGGAAAGCUGACCCUUAUGAACAGCCAAGGACAUAAAGUGGUGAUAAGAGCAACACCACUGAAGAUAGAGUUCCUGAACAAGGCCGGAGACGUGGCAGUGGUGCUGAACGACAACGCUCAGCUGGUGGUGGAGCCGCUCCGAGUUAAAAAGGAAAGGAUUGAUGAUGAGGAUGGGAACGCUGUCGAAGUUGAGGAAGAAGGUACUUGGGGCGAGAGUUUCAAGUCCCACCACGACAGCAAGCCUCGCGGUAACGAAGCCGUGUCCCUCGACUUCAGCUUCCCAGACGCUGAUAAUGUUUAUGGUAUUCCGGAGCACACGGAUAAGUUCGCCCUGAAGACGACCACCUCAGGCGAGCCCUACCGUCUGUUCAACCUGGACGUGUUCGAGUACGAGCUGGACAGCCGCAUGGCUCUCUAUGGAGCCGUCCCCGUAAUGUAUUCUCAUGGGCCGAAGCACAGCGCCGGUGUGUUCUGGCACAACUCGGCCGAGACGUGGGUGGACGUGGUGAACUACGCCGACAGUACCGUGGUCUCCUCGCUCGUCAACCUGGUCACCGGGGGACAGAAGCGCCGUGUCGAUGCCAGGUUCAUAAGUGAGUCGGGCAUAGUGGAUGUGUUCGUGUUCCUGGGCGAGAAGCCGGCGGACGUGUUCCGUCAGUACGCCAUGUUGACUGGACCUGCGCCGCUACCUCCUAAAUUCUCGCUGGCGUACCACCAGUGCCGCUGGAACUAUGUGGACGAGGCGGACGUGCGCUCCGUGGACAACGGGUUCGACGAACACGACAUACCCGCCGACGUCAUCUGGCUAGACAUCGAGUACACUGACAGGAAGAAGUACUUCACAUGGGACGCCCUUAAGUUCCCGAAUCCCGCGGAGAUGGUCGCCAACCUGACAUCUAAAGGUCGGAAACUGGUCACUAUCAUAGAUCCCCACGUGAAGAGAGAGGCUGGUUACUUCCUGCAUGAAGACGCUACUGACUUAGGAUACUAUGUUAAGGACAAAGAGGGAAAAGAUUAUGAAGGUUGGUGCUGGCCGGGUUCCUCGUCGUACCUGGACUUCUUCAACCCGGUCGUAAGCAAGUACUACGCGGAGAGGUAUUCCUUCGACAACUUCCCCGGAACGAGCAAGGAUGUACACAUUUGGAACGACAUGAAUGAGCCUAGUGUAUUCAACGGGCCGGAGAUCACGAUGCCGAAGGACUGUCGCCACUACAAGCCCCCCCAGGACGGGAACGAUGGACUCGCUGCCUUCUGGGAACACAGACACGUCCACAACGAGUAUGGCCUAUGGAACAUCCGCGCCACCCACGACGGUAUGCUGCAACGCGCCGACAACAAGUACCGACCCUUCAUACUCACGCGCUCCGCAUUCGCCGGUACUCAGAGAUACGCGGCAGUAUGGACGGGCGACAACAUGGCGGAGUGGGGCUUCCUGGCGGUGAGCGUGCCCAUGUGCCUGUCGCUGGCCUCCGCCGGGAUCAGCUUCUGCGGCUCCGACGUCGGAGGGUUCUUCAAAUACCCUGAGGCAGAGCUCAUGACGAGGUGGUACCAGGCGGGAGCGUUCCAACCGUUCUUCCGCGCGCACUCUCACAUCGAGACGAAGCGCCGCGAGCCGUGGCUGUACGAGCCGGCUACAACAGCGCUGCUGCGAGACGCUACGCGCAGGAGAUACGCGCUCAUCGACUUCUGGUACACGCUGUUCUACGAGCACUCAGUGGACGGUCUACCGGUGAUGCGCGCGCUGUUCCAAGAGUAUCCCAACGAGGAAGAUACAUACACCAUCGAUGAUCAGUACCUGCUCGGAAACAAACUCCUGGUCCGUCCAGUAGUGGAGCCGGGAGUGAGCAAUGUGAAGGUGUACCUGCCCGGGGCGGCAACCCGCACCCUCUGGUACGACGUCGACACGUACCACGCGUACCCAGCCAACGGAUACCUCACAUUCGAUGUUACGCUCUCUAAAAUCCCAGUGUUCCAGCGCGGCGGCAGUAUAGUACUGCGCAAGGAGCGCGUGCGGCGCUCGUCCGCGCUCAUGGCCGACGACCCGUACACCAUCGUCGUCGCACUCGACGCCAACGGCACAUCAGAAGGCUCGCUGUACAUAGACGACGGCGAGACGUACGACUACAGGAACAACAAGUACAUCUACGCCAAGCUGGCGUACGAAACCGGCUCUAUGACUUACUCCUUCGUGAACGAGAAAGCGAGCUACCCAACUCGGUCGUGGGUGGAGCGUAUAGUCAUUGCGGGCAUCAAGAACCCCCCCAAGACGGCCAAGUUGGUGCAGGGGGACAAACAGACAUCGUUACAGAUGACGCUACACAAGGGCAACGAUGUACUCGUCGUCCGCAAGCCGGCCGCCAGCAUGGCCCAGCCUUGGAAAAUCAUCUUUAGCUAUUAAGAUUUUAGGUAGAAAAUGAGUUGUUGCUACUAACCGGCGAGGUAAGACACUUACUUUCUAGACCGUAUACGUACGUUGGAAAAUCAUCUUUAACUAUUAAGAUUUUAUGUUGAAAAUGAGUUGUUGCGCUUACUUUUAUUUAAUGUCGAAUAUCUGUCGUGGUAUGAUGUACUAAAGUUCUAAAUUCUUCCACUAAAGUAGGAGUAAUCAUCACAAGAGUUCUACAGAUAAUAAGACACGUACUUUCGAAUAAUACCGAACACGUACUUUGGAAAAUCAUCUUUAAGUAUUAAGAUUUUAUGUUGAAAAUGAGUUGUUGCGCUUACUUUUAUUUAAUGUCGAAUAUCUGUCGUGGUAUGAUGUACUAAAGUUUUAAAUUCUUCCACUAAAGUAGGAGUAAUCAUCACAAGAGUUCUACAGAUAAAGUUCUAGAUAUAGAACCUAUAGGCUUGCUUACUUUGUACUACUGCCAUGACUGUUUAUACAAGGCUAUUAUCAAAAUCUGAUCAUCCGUUUAGGAGAUGAAUACCACAGACAGACGUAAGUACAAAGUAAUCGAAACGAGACCGCGUUCGCUCUGAUUGGUUCGUUUAUUGGAGUCGGCCAAUCAGAGCGCCGAACGCGCUCUCGUUUCAAUUACUAAACGUAAAGCAAACUCGUACUAAGGGUACUGAUACCUAAGCAUGUUUAAAUUAUAACUCUUUUUACCUUUUUAAAUUUUAUAAAAUACUAGCGGACCCGACAGACGUUGUCCUGUCUACACGUCUUUAAUUUGAAAAUUUCCAAAAUCAACAACUACUAAUAAAUUAAAAAAACAUUGUCCAGCGGACAAAAUUGUGAAUCUAAACCAUUCUCAGAUCCCCUUGAACACACACAAAAAAUUUCAUCAAAAUCGGUCCAGUCGUUUAAGAGAAGUUCAGUGACAUACACACUUACAGAAGAAUUAUAUAUAUAAAGAUAGUCAUGAUAAUGUCUAAACCAAAGCCGGUAAGUAGCAACUAAAAUAAAAAAAAAACUCAAACAAAUAGGUUUAUUUAUUUUUCGAGUAAAUGGUUCGUUUCUGAUGUACUACAACUAUGCUACGUAUUAGUCAUACUAGUGUGUGGACUUUAAAUGUCAUGGAAUUACCCGACUGUACCGAAAGGAGGGUUAUGUGUUUCAAGUGAGAUGUACGUAACGUUUACUCGUUGGUUUAUUAGUAGAAAUGUUCUAUUUUCAUUGUAUUUUUAAAUUUUGGAUUGCUAUUCUUUAUGACGUAACUGUGUCAACUGAUUAAUAUGUGCUCGUUUUCAACAAUCACCCCCUAAACCAUCUCUUAUCUAAGAGUUACUUAGCAUCUAAACUAACCCUUAUUUGUACUGUUCGGUGUCACUUAAAGAUUGGUGAAAACCAGUGUCGGUAAAAGUCACCUAUCUUGACUUAGGGGUCUCCUUAAAUUUAGGGGAGGCUGGUGGAAAUGCGCAUUGGAAACAUGAUAUUAUUUAAAAGCUUAACCUAAUAUUUUUAAAUACAGUCAAAAUAUAAUUUUAAACACAUUGUUUCAUUCAGACACUGUUUUAAGCAAUGAAAUAAACUGUGAUUGUUAUUUAUAUACUUAAUAUUAAAAGUAUAUAAAGAAAAUUUGGUAAAUAAAUGUAUAAAGGAACAGUGUCGAAGUGAAUACAACUCUAUAUCAAGGCAGUAAGGACUAGAUUUCAGUGUAGGAACUCAGUGAUCAAUCAUUUCUAGUUACACAAACUUAUACCUACUGGUAUUUGUGUACUAUAGAAGUUAAAUUGAACUUUAACUUUUGCGAAAUAUGGUAUAAUUUCAUAUGUAUGCAUACUGUUAGGAAAACACCGUACAUAUUUCUUUAGAGGUUCUUCAAAAAAGUAUUGCUCGUUUUGAAAGACUCUGUGAAGUCUUGUAGUGUAUUAAUGUGCUAUAAAGAGAUAUACUCUUUCACCAAGUAAGACUAUGAACAUUGACAAAACAUACAUAUGUUAAAAUCACACUUUUAUUGUAUAUGAGCAUAGAUAGCAAUUACAAAGAUUUUCUUACAUAUUUCUUGUGUUCCUUUGUUACUAAUUAAUAAAACUUAAAAAAAAGGGAUAGCGUCCGUCAAAAGCAUAAAUACAUUUAUAGUCAAACUGAGAACCUUUUUUUGAAGUUGGUUAAAAAGUAGGUAGUAUAUAUUAUUAAGAUCUUUUUUUCAAUACGUACGGUGUUUUAAAGUAUGCCUAUGUAUGUACUAUCUACCUAUAUCAUAUAUCUGAAGGUACGUUUGUGUAACAGAACUCCCAAAUAGUUGUAAUCAUUAGUACAUCUAGAGUAUGAUAAUCGCUCCGUAAGAUUAUAAGUACCUAAUACAUUUUUUAAAAUAAAAUAAUUAAAAUUAUACAAUUGCAAUUGUAUUUUACUCAUCCCUAAAAAUACUGUAAAGUAUUUCUCUCUGUAUUUUAUGAAUUAUAGUUAUAUAAUGUGUGACCAGUAUGUAUUAUUCCAUGUUGUAGAUAUAAAAUCGUAUUGAACUAUGUAUUGUCCGUUGGUUAGAUAAACUUCGCAAUUCAGUAACGGGUAAGGUAUUGAAGAAUUCUAUUGUAUGUAUGUGAUAAUAAAAUACAUUUUAAUUA
Molecule: RNA transcript, 5584 nt
Organism: Spodoptera frugiperda (fall armyworm)
Lineage: Eukaryota; Metazoa; Arthropoda; Insecta; Lepidoptera; Noctuidae
Gene: GCS2alpha
Gene name: neutral alpha-glucosidase AB
Exons: 21
Source: RefSeq, a predicted model, not a curated record